RNAcentral lists this long non-coding RNA (1331 nucleotides) under Salmo salar (Atlantic salmon). Its description in RNAcentral is "lncRNA (ENSSSAG00000119147.1)". Lineage: Eukaryota; Metazoa; Chordata; Actinopteri; Salmoniformes; Salmonidae. The record is from RNAcentral.
GGAAAUGGUUCCAAUCGUUUUUCCACCAUUAAUUUUUUCCUUACUGGAUUAUAGAAACACUUAAAAUAAGGGCUGUGUUUCGUGUAGGCUUACCUUGGAGUGACGUUUUGAUAAUUGUGUAAAUCUCUCUAGGUCCAGGACAAGAUGUCUUAUCAAUAUAUUCGCUUGUAUUUACCCCUAAAAAUGAAAUGCUAAUUAGCUGUUAAUGUGGCUAUCAUAAUGAACUAAAAAUGCCAUGAAUGAUCUGGAUGAGACUGCGGAAUCGAGGCAAAUGUAAGAAUCUCUGGAUUAACUAUAUCUAAUGUUAGAAAAAUGUACUAAUGAAUAAGUCAUUUCUUUAAAUUGACAAUUCUGUGAACUGUCUUGUGCAAGUUUUACAUUGACACAAUAUACCUGUUUGCAAAGGUCAGCUCGACAUGACGUGCAGGAGCUGGCAGAGAUUUGUAGUCUUGCAUGAUGUCUACUUUGACGCUAAUUAGCAUUUUCUAAUCUGAGAGUAAAUAGAGCCGAAUAUAUUGAUUAAAGUCACCUUGUCCAAGAGCGAUUUAAAUGGUUAUCAAAACAUCAUGCCAGGGUAAGCCUACACGAAACACAGCCCUUAUUAAGUGUCUCUAAAAUUCCCUAUGGGGAAAAAUGAAUGGUGGAAAAACGAUUGGAACCAUUUCCCUGUUUGGGUAUUAUGACACCGCCACUUUGGGGCUCUAUAGCAGGGAUAGGCAACUCUGUUCCUGGAGUGCAGCAGGACCACGACCUCACUCUGACCCUCAAGGCCGUUACCCUCCUAACCACAAACACCCAGUGGCUGCUAGACCUGACACCUUGGCCCCACGUACAUCCUCACCAAGCAAUCUGGGCAGCUCGCAGACCGCUCCACUAGAGUCACAGGCUGAGGCCCAGGCCUCCACAGAGAACCCAGAGGCAGUGAGUAUUAUGUUCGAGGCAGCGGUGGCAGGGAUGCGGAUGUGUGAGCAUGCUUACCCCAGCCGUGGAUCAGUGGCUGGAGUGGCAGUCAGCUGGGUAGUGGCUUCACAGGGUUGUCAGACUUAACAUUGCUGGCUGGAUUCUGACAUGCGUGGUUGCUUGUUUUAAGGAGCUUACAGACGGGCUGCGGUGAACUCAACAUUUCUGCCUACCGUGUGUAGAUGCCAGCGGUCCCAGUUGUUGUCAGCUCAAAGGUUGUGAUUAAAACAUUGGUUGGUUGGCGAGAUGAACUCUGCUCAUUGGUCAACCAUGCAUAUUUUGAAGCCUUGAGCGUAGAGCCAGCGCCACCGCUCACUGGAGUGAGUGCCACGAACGGCGCCACUUGUAAAACUGCUUGCGGUUUGCCGCCC